RNAcentral lists this ribosomal RNA (608 nucleotides) under Salmonella enterica. RNAcentral's name for it is "partial 23S ribosomal RNA". It matches the Rfam family "Bacterial large subunit ribosomal RNA", at positions 711 to 1316 of the family's 2925-position model. Lineage: Bacteria; Pseudomonadati; Pseudomonadota; Gammaproteobacteria; Enterobacterales; Enterobacteriaceae. The record is from RNAcentral.
AGACCCGAAACCCGGUGAUCUAGCCAUGGGCAGGUUGAAGGUUGGGUAACACUAACUGGAGGACCGAACCGACUAAUGUUGAAAAAUUAGCGGAUGACCUGUGGCUGGGGGUGAAAGGCCAAUCAAACCGGGAGAUAGCUGGUUCUCCCCGAAAGCUAUUUAGGUAGCGCCUCGUGAAUUCAUCUCCGGGGGUAGAGCACUGUUUCGGCUAGGGGGCCAUCCCGGCUUACCAACCCGAUGCAAACUGCGAAUACCGGAGAAUGUUAUCACGGGAGACACACGGCGGGUGCUAACGUCCGUCGUGAAGAGGGAAACAACCCAGACCGCCAGCUAAGGUCCCAAAGUCAUAGUUAAGUGGGAAACGAUGUGGGAAGGCCCAGACAGCCAGGAUGUUGGCUUAGAAGCAGCCAUCAUUUAAAGAAAGCGUAAUAGCUCACUGGUCGAGUCGGCCUGCGCGGAAGAUGUAACGGGGCUAAACUAUGCACCGAAGCUGCGGCAGCGACACUAUGUGUUGUUGGGUAGGGGAGCGUUCUGUAAGCCUGUGAAGGUGUGUCGUGAGGCAUGCUGGAGGUAUCAGAAGUGCGAAUGCUGACAUAAGUAACGAUAAA